RNAcentral lists this non-coding RNA (31 nucleotides) under Mus musculus (house mouse). Lineage: Eukaryota; Metazoa; Chordata; Mammalia; Rodentia; Muridae. The record is from RNAcentral.
UCGUAGAACUGGUUCGACCCUGUGGAAGGUC